Non-coding RNA from Salmo salar (Atlantic salmon), 816 nucleotides. The record is from RefSeq and is a predicted model, not a curated record. NCBI's taxonomy places the organism in Eukaryota, Metazoa, Chordata, Actinopteri, Salmoniformes, Salmonidae.
AGCAAGAAGCUGGCCUUGGACAUCCAGAGAACCAUCCAGGGAACAACAAUCUCCAUUUCUAAGAAAGGCUGCUGCUGCAUGGCUUGUGUGGCCCACUCUGGGAUGGCUGCAGAUGAAAUAGCAGAGAAUAUUGAUUCAGCUGUCAGCACCAUCGUGACAAAACUACGCAUGAAAGAACCAUUGAUAAAGAUCAUCCACUUGAAAAGCCAAUCAGUGGAUCUGCCCAUCUACACCUCUAACCUGAGUAACCUGACCCUGAUAGAGGAAACACAGAAACAGACCAUGGCUGCCAUGGAUGCCAAGGAAAAAUGCAAGCAAACAGAAGUCUGCAAAGAAAGAACAGAAGCCUACAGAAAAGAACUCUGGUGCUGACGGGGAGGAAGAGGUUCCCAUAGUAACGCCAAGAAAAAAGGCUAAACUGGAGGUCUAUACCCCGCUAGUGUCAACCAAAUGCAUUUUAAUAUUGGAGCCUUAUUCAUUGAACCUGCAGAGCAAGAAGCUGGCCUUGGACAUCCAGAGAACCAUCCAGGGAACAACAAUCUCCAUUUCUAAGAAAGGCUGCUGCUGGUGAGGCCUGCUCCCUGACUUACAUGGCUUGUGUGGCCCACUCUGGGAUGGCUGCAGAUGAAAUAGCAGAGAAUAUUGAUUCAGCUGUCAGCACCAUCGUGACAAAACUACGCAUGAAAGAACCAUUGAUAAAGAUCAUCCACUUGAAAAGCCAAUCAGUGGAUCUGCCCAUCUACACCUCUAACCUGAGUAACCUGACCCUGAUAGAGGAAACACAGAAACAGACCAUGGCUGCCAUGGAUGCCAAGG